GACGAACGCUGGCGGCGUGCCUAAUACAUGCAAGUCGAGCGGACCAAAGGGAGCUUGCUCCUGGAGGUCAGCGGCGAACGGGUGAGUAACACGUGGGCAACCUGCCUGUAAGACUGGGAUAACAUCGAGAAAUCGGUGCUAAUACCGGAUAAUAAAAAGAACUGCAUGGUUCUUUUUUGAAAGAUGGUUUCGGCUAUCACUUACAGAUGGGCCCGCGGCGCAUUAGCUAGUUGGUGAGGUAACGGCUCACCAAGGCAACGAUGCGUAGCCGACCUGAGAGGGUGAUCGGCCACACUGGGACUGAGACACGGCCCAGACUCCUACGGGAGGCAGCAGUAGGGAAUCUUCCGCAAUGGACGAAAGUCUGACGGAGCAACGCCGCGUGAGUGAUGAAGGUUUUCGGAUCGUAAAACUCUGUUGUUAGGGAAGAACAAGUGCCGUUCGAAAGGGCGGCACCUUGACGGUACCUAACGAGAAAGCCACGGCUAACUACGUGCCAGCAGCCGACGG
RNAcentral lists this ribosomal RNA (510 nucleotides) under uncultured bacterium. RNAcentral's name for it is "bacterial SSU rRNA". It matches the Rfam family "Bacterial small subunit ribosomal RNA", at positions 28 to 520 of the family's 1533-position model. The record is from RNAcentral.